UGGGGAAUUUUGCACAAUGGGGGAAACCCUGAUGCAGCGACGCCGCGUGAUUUAGAAGGCCUUCGGGUUGUAAAAAUCUUUUUUACGGGAUGAAAAUGACAGUACCGUAAGAAUAAGGUCCGGCUAAAUACGUGCCAGCAGCCGCGGUAAUACGUAUGGACCGAGCGUUGUCCGGAAUCAUUGGGCGUAAAGGGUACGUAGGCGGCCUAGUAAGUUAGAAGUGAAAUAAUAUAGCUCAACUAUAUAAAGCUUUUAAAACUGCUAGGCUUGAGAGAUGGAAGGGAAAGUGGAAUUCCUAGUGUAGCGGUGAAAUGCGCAGAUAUUAGGAAGAAUACCGGUGGCGAAGGCGAGUUUCUGGUCAUCAUCUGACGCUGAGGUACGAAAGCGUGGGUAGCAAACAGG
This 402-nucleotide ribosomal RNA is filed under the name bacterium. RNAcentral's name for it is "partial 16S ribosomal RNA". It matches the Rfam family "Bacterial small subunit ribosomal RNA", at positions 355 to 776 of the family's 1533-position model. The record is from RNAcentral.